RNAcentral lists this ribosomal RNA (207 nucleotides) under uncultured bacterium. Its description in RNAcentral is "partial 16S ribosomal RNA". It matches the Rfam family "Bacterial small subunit ribosomal RNA", at positions 568 to 774 of the family's 1533-position model. The record is from RNAcentral.
GGUGCAGGCGGUUUGGUCAGUCUGAAGUGAAAUCCCGGGGCUCAACCUCGGACGUGCUUUGGAAACUGCCAAGCUUGAGUACGGGAGAGGAGAGUGGAAUUCCAGGUGUAGCGGUGAAAUGCGUAGAUAUCUGGAGGAACACCGGUGGCGAAAGCGGCUCUCUGGCCCGAUACUGACGCUGAGGCCCGAAAGCGUGGGGAGCGAACA